This is a long non-coding RNA of Pseudophryne corroboree (corroboree frog), 2366 nucleotides long. RefSeq lists it as uncharacterized. Lineage: Eukaryota; Metazoa; Chordata; Amphibia; Anura; Myobatrachidae. The record is from RefSeq and is a predicted model, not a curated record. The transcript has 3 exons.
AACAGAGAGAAAGCUGUCUGUUGACAUUCUAAUAAAAUAAUACUAUUAGGAAUGGGCUGUGUUUGUGGCAGAAGCAUCUUGAGGACAAACUGGCUGUUGACGAUGCAUCACGUUAUUUCAUAUUUGCCAUGAAACAGGAUGCAAAAGAGGUCAUAAGAAAGAAAACACUUGCAGCUUAUCUUCUGUGUCAGCUGGCUUGUUGGAAGCGAAGAUGGGGUGUGUUGUGUGAAAGUGGGAAUCCUGAAGCAGAAAGCGGUAGAGACUGCCAGCUCUGAAACCUGUAGAUAAGGAAGCGGGUGCUGCUGGCAUGCAUGCACAGUGGAUCCGGUCAGGAUCCUGGCAGUCGGAAUCCCUGCACUGCCCUGAAUGCCAACAACGGGAUCCCGACAUGGAUCACAAUGCGGUGCCGGAAUCCUGAACGCCGAGGUUCCAAACCAAGGACUGUCAGCAUUGAAUACAGCAAUGAAUGGACACAUUCUUAAAAACCAGCUAGUACCUGCCCGGUUGGAUGAUAACUUCAGAGACCAAUCAUUUAGGAAGGCAGCUUUAGUGCAGAGACACAGAGGCGCUUGUUUUUGUCUGAAAAGAACAUUAAUCUUUUUAGCAAAAAGACAACCUACCAAGACUACCGUGCUGGGAUUCACUGUUUGCCAUCACACAUAUUUGAAUAAGUCAUUAUUUUUUGCUAAAGUAUGUGGUUGAACUUUUAACAUCUUUUGAUGCCCUUCUAAAUUAUGUUAUUGAAUUAAUUUAAAUUAGUUCAAAUAAUGAUUUCUUUAUAAGUUUCAAUACUGUACAUUUACUAUAUGACAUUUGAAACAUCUAGUGAACCAUUGACCAUAUACCUACUUAAAUUUAAGCAUUAUGAAAUGUUUUCUAAAAAAAAAAUGUACAAGGGUAUGUGAAAAUAUUAGAAAUAAGGUUAAAGACUAUUCCAUUACCAAACAAUUCACCAACAUAAAUCGGACCUUUUUUUCCCUUUAAGGCCAUAAAGCAUGUUACACUGGUUAAAAGGGGAAGAGAUAUCCAGAAGAGCAUAACAUAAUUAUUCCGGUAUCCGGACUAUGGGUUGACACCAAUUAUGUUGACACCCAUUGGUCGACAGUGCCUAGGUCAACACUAGAAAUAGGUCAACACAGCCAUUUGGUUGACACGAACAAUGUUGACAUGAAAAAAGUCGACAUGAGUUUUUUUUUAAAAAAUGGGGGGGGACUUUUUCAUACUUUACGAUCCACGUGGACUACGAUUGGGAACAGUAAUCUGGCGGCAUGGUGAAGGGACGCAGUGCACUAAUUGGGGUUCCUGGUCACUUGAUGGAGAAAAUAACACAAAAAAACAUAAAACACUCACGUCAACCUUUUUUGAUGUCGACCUUGCUCAUGUCGACCUAUUUCUAGUGUCGACCUAGCCACUAUCACCCAAUAAGUGUCGACCUAAUUGGUGUCGACCUUGAGUCCCAUACCCAUUAUACAUACCCCAUAAGUUUAAAAAGAGCAGUUGGGAAAGGACCGUUAAUCCUUUAGUGCUUCUUCAAUUAGGCCAUAAGGGCUAUUUGGAGCUAUCUGAAAAACAGCGAACACAGAUUUUUAGACUGUAUCACACAGAAGAUAUAUGGCUUAUGAAAGAUUCAUGCACCAAAAGUGAUUCAUAGUGGGAUAAAAAAUACAUACCACAAUACAAUAAAUAUUGAGAUUGGGAAUUAACACGAGAGAUGACUUUGUAUCUUAAAUCCGAUUAGAUCGUACCUUGUAUAAUUAUAUUAUGCUCACACUAUUGUGAUAAUUGAAUUGACUAUUAAUAAGUCAAACUAACACUCAAUCAUUUUAGACUAAUAGAGUCAACACUAUAUAUUGCAUUGGAGGACUCUCACGCUAUACCAAAUGUGAGAAGCAAUUUAAACUGUAUCCUCAGUUUUGAUAUGUGUUAGAAAUAACACUUUAGAAACUUUUUCUUUUUUGCCCACUCUUUUCUAAUAAAAAGUACUGCACUUUAUGGGCACAAAAGGUCGGUACCACUUACCUCUAUAUUUAUUCUGGUUCCACCUAAUAGGAGAGGCCAAUGAGAAAGUCUCUUCUUCCAUAUAGGUUGGUGCCAGUAAUAUUUCUUUAAUCUUGAUCAUUUAGAUUUUCAUAUAUUCACUCUCACCCACUGUCUUUAUUAAUUUUUUCACCUGAAAGAUACCCCUGAAGAAGUCUGCUUUGGAUGAAACGUGUAGGGUUUAUCAAUCUUCAUGCACCAUCCAACUGUAAGAGCACCCACCCUAGAGCUCACACCUUUUGAAGGUGAGGGGGAAAAUUUGUGAACAUCUCUCUUACUUUGGCUCUUGUGAAAUUGUAUUGCAAAUCUGUUAUGUACAUACAUUGUAC